Molecule: non-coding RNA, 123 nt
Organism: Triticum aestivum (bread wheat)
Lineage: Eukaryota; Viridiplantae; Streptophyta; Magnoliopsida; Poales; Poaceae
Source: Rfam
UAGGUACUCCCUCCGUCAAGAAAUAUUUGUUCUCAAAAUGGAUAAAUUGGAUGUAUCUAUAACUAAAAUAAGUCUAGAUACAUCCGUUUUUGGACAAGUAUUUCUGGGCGGAGGGAGUAUUAG